RNAcentral lists this ribosomal RNA (1206 nucleotides) under Salmonella enterica subsp. enterica serovar Legon. Its description in RNAcentral is "bacterial LSU rRNA". It matches the Rfam family "Bacterial large subunit ribosomal RNA", at positions 1055 to 2162 of the family's 2925-position model. Lineage: Bacteria; Pseudomonadati; Pseudomonadota; Gammaproteobacteria; Enterobacterales; Enterobacteriaceae. The record is from RNAcentral.
AUGGUUAAGUGGGAAACGAUGUGGGAAGGCCCAGACAGCCAGGAUGUUGGCUUAGAAGCAGCCAUCAUUUAAAGAAAGCGUAAUAGCUCACUGGUCGAGUCGGCCUGCGCGGAAGAUGUAACGGGGCUAAACCAUGCACCGAAGCUGCGGCAGCGAACGUAUCACUUAAAGCGAUUCAGCGGGUUACGAUUGACGGAGCGAAGCGACGUCAAAGCGUAUACAAAGUCGAGUCGGUUUAAGGAUACGUUCGUUGGGUAGGGGAGCGUUCUGUAAGCCUGCGAAGGUGGCCUGUGAGGGUUGCUGGAGGUAUCAGAAGUGCGAAUGCUGACAUAAGUAACGAUAAAGCGGGUGAAAAGCCCGCUCGCCGGAAGACCAAGGGUUCCUGUCCAACGUUAAUCGGGGCAGGGUGAGUCGACCCCUAAGGCGAGGCCGAAAGGCGUAGUCGAUGGGAAACGGGUUAAUAUUCCCGUACUUGGUGUUACUGCGAAGGGGGGACGGAGAAGGCUAUGUUGGCCGGGCGACGGUUGUCCCGGUUUAAGCGUGUAGGUGUGUGUUCCAGGUAAAUCCGGUUCACUUUAACACUGAGGCGUGANGACGAGGCACUACGGUGCUGAAGCAACAAAUGCCCUGCUUCCAGGAAAAGCCUCUAAGCAUCAGGUAACAUCAAAUCGUACCCCAAACCGACACAGGUGGUCAGGUAGAGAAUACCAAGGCGCUUGAGAGAACUCGGGUGAAGGAACUAGGCAAAAUGGUGCCGUAACUUCGGGAGAAGGCACGCUGACACGUAGGUGAAGUGAUUUACUCAUGGAGCUGAAGUCAGUCGAAGAUACCAGCUGGCUGCAACUGUUUAUUAAAAACACAGCACUGUGCAAACACGAAAGUGGACGUAUACGGUGUGACGCCUGCCCGGUGCCGGAAGGUUAAUUGAUGGGGUCAGCGCAAGCGAAGCUCCUGAUCGAAGCCCCGGUAAACGGCGGCCGUAACUAUAACGGUCCUAAGGUAGCGAAAUUCCUUGUCGGGUAAGUUCCGACCUGCACGAAUGGCGUAAUGAUGGCCAGGCUGUCUCCACCCGAGACUCAGUGAAAUUGAACUCGCUGUGAAGAUGCAGUGUACCCGCGGCAAGACGGAAAGACCCCGUGAACCUUUACUAUAGCUUGACACUGAACAUUGAGCCUUGAUGUGUAGGAUAGGUGGGAGGCUUUGAAG